GCUCAGUAACACGUGGAUAACCUACCCUUAGGACCGGGAUAACCUUGGGAAACUGAGGACAAUACUGGAUAGGCAAUUUUUCCUGUAAUGGUUUUUUGUUUAAAUGUUUUUUCGCCUAAGGAUGGGUCUGCGGCCGAUUAGGUAGUUGGUUAGGUAAUGGCUUACCAAGCCGUUGAUCGGUACGGGUUGUGAGAGCAAGAGCCCGGAGAUGGAACCUGAGACAAGGUUCCAGGCCCUACGGGGUGCAGCAGGCGCGAAACCUCCGCAAUGUGAGAAAUCGCGACGGGGGGAUCCCAAGUGCCAUUCUUAACGGGAUGGCUUUUCAUUAGUGUAAAAAGCUUUUGGAAUAAGAGCUGGGCAAGACCGGUGCCAGCCGCCGCGGUAACACCGGCAGCUCUAGUGGUAGCAAUUUUUAUUGGGCCUAAAGCGUCCGUAGCCGGUUUAAUAAGUCUCUGGUGAAAUCCUGUAGCUUAACUGUGGGAAUUGCUGGAGAUACUAUUAGACUUGAGACCGGGAGAGGUUAGAGGUACUCCCAGGGUAGAGGUGAAAUUCUGUAAUCCUGGGAGGACCGCCUGUUGCGAAGGCGUCUAACUGGAACGGUUCUGACGGUGAGGGACGAAAGUUAGGGGCGCGAACCGGAUUAGAUACCCGGGUAGUCCUAACUGUAAACGAUGCGGACUUGGUGUUGGGGUGGCUUUGAGCUGCUCCAGUGCCGAAGGGAAGCUGUUAAGUCCGCCGCCUGGGAAGUACGGUCGCAAGACUGAAACUUAAAGGAAUUGGCGGGGGAGCAC
RNAcentral lists this ribosomal RNA (791 nucleotides) under uncultured archaeon. RNAcentral's name for it is "bacterial SSU rRNA". It matches the Rfam family "Archaeal small subunit ribosomal RNA", at positions 88 to 879 of the family's 1478-position model. The record is from RNAcentral.